GACGAACGCUGGCGGCGUGCUUAACACAUGCAAGUCGAACGGAAAGGCCCUGCUUUUGUGGGGUGCUCGAGUGGCGAACGGGUGAGUAACACGUGAGUAACCUGCUCUUGACUUUGGGAUAACUUCAGGAAACUGGGGCUAAUACCGGAUAGGAGCUCCUGCUGGAUGGUGGGGGUUGGAAAGUUUCGGCGGUUGGGGAUGGACUCGCGGCUUAUCAGCUUGUUGGUGGGGUAGUGGCUUACCAAGGCUUUGACGGGUAGCCGGCCUGAGAGGGUGACCGGCCACAUUGGGACUGAGAUACGGCCCAGACUCCUACGGGAGGCAGCAGUGGGGAAUAUUGCACAAUGGGCGGAAGCCUGAUGCAGCAACGCCGCGUGCGGGAUGACGGCCUUCGGGUUGUAAACCGCUUUCGCCUGUGACGAAGCGUGAGUGACGGUAAUGGGUAAAGAAGCACCGGCUAACUACGUG
RNAcentral lists this ribosomal RNA (468 nucleotides) under uncultured bacterium. RNAcentral describes it as "partial 16S ribosomal RNA". It matches the Rfam family "Bacterial small subunit ribosomal RNA", at positions 28 to 507 of the family's 1533-position model. The record is from RNAcentral.